RNAcentral lists this ribosomal RNA (253 nucleotides) under uncultured prokaryote. RNAcentral's name for it is "partial 16S ribosomal RNA". It matches the Rfam family "Bacterial small subunit ribosomal RNA", at positions 524 to 776 of the family's 1533-position model. The record is from RNAcentral.
UACGGAGGGUGCAAGCGUUAUCCGGAUUUACUGGGUUUAAAGGGUGCGUAGGUGGGCAGGUAAGUCAGUGGUGAAAUCUCCGGGCUUAACCCGGAAACUGCCAUUGAUACUAUCUGUCUUGAAUUUCCUGGAGGUAAGCGGAAUAUGUCAUGUAGCGGUGAAAUACUUAGAUAUGUCAUAGAACACCGAUUGCGAAGGCAGCUAACGAAACUAUAACUGACGCUGAGGCACGAAAGUGCGGGGAUCAAACAGG